AAACAUGUCUUUUUGAGUUGUAUUUAAAGUCUGACCUGCCCACUGAAUAAAAUUUAAAUGGCCGCAGUAUUUUGACUGUGCAAAGGUAGCAUAAUCAUUAGUUUUUUAAUUGAAGGCUGGUAUGAAUGGUUGGACGAAGUAUAAGCUGUUUCAUGUAAAUUUUUUAUAGAAUUUUAUAUUUUAGUUAAAAAGCUAAAAUUUUAUUAAAAGACGAGAAGACCCUAUAAAUCUUUAUAAUUAUUAUUAUUAAAUUUUUUUGGAUUAUUUUUAUUUUUAUAAUAAUAAUUAUUUUAUUGGGGUGAUAUUAAAAUUUAAUGAACUUUUAAUUUUUAAAAAUCAUUAAUUUAUGAAUUAUUGAUCCAUUAAUAUUGAUUAUAAGAAUAAGUUACUUUAGGGAUAACAGCGUAAUUUUUCUUGAGAGUUCAUAUCGACAGAAAAGUUUGCGACCUCGAUGUUGGAUUAAGGUAUAAUUUUGGGUGUAGUUGUUCAAAUAUUAAGUCUGUUCGACUUUUAAAUCCUUACAUGAUC
Molecule: ribosomal RNA, 528 nt
Filed under: Anastrepha leptozona
Lineage: Eukaryota; Metazoa; Arthropoda; Insecta; Diptera; Tephritidae
Description: partial small subunit ribosomal RNA
Rfam family: Bacterial large subunit ribosomal RNA (bases 396-528)
Source: RNAcentral